AGAGUUUGAUCAUGGCUCAGGAUGAACGCUGGCGGCGUGCUUAACACAUUCAAGUCGAACGGACGACAGGGGGCUUGCUCCCUGAAGUUAGUGGCGGACGGGUGAGUAACGCGUGAGCAACCUGCCUUUUUUCGGGGGAUAACACGGGGAAACCGGUGCUAAUACCGCAUAACGUACCGAGAUCGCAUGGUCAUGGUACCAAAGGAGCAAUCCGAGGAAAGAUGGGCUCGCGUCUGAUUAGAUAGUUGGUGGGGUAACGGCCUACCAAGUCGACGAUCAGUAGCCGGACUGAGAGGUUGAACGGCCACAUUGGAACUGAGAUACGGUCCAGACUCCUACGGGAGGCAGCAGUGGGGAAUAUUGGGCAAUGGGCGAAAGCCUGACCCAGCGACGCCGCGUGAAGGAAGAAGGUCUUCGGAUUGUAAACUUUUGUCAGCAGGGAAGAAGCAAGUGACGGUACCUGCUAAGAAAGCCACGGCUAACUACGUGCCAGCAGCCGCGGUAAUACGUAGGUGGCAAGCGUUAUCCGGAUUUACUGGGUGUAAAGGGUGUGUAGGCGGACUUGCAAGUCAGGUGUGAAAUCUAUCGGCUCAACUGAUAGCGUGCACUUGAAACUGCAGGCCUUGAGAGUCGGAGAGGUAAGCGGAAUUCCCAGUGUAGCGGUGAAAUGCGUAGAUAUUGGGAGGAACACCAGUGGCGAAGGCGGCUUACUGGACGACCACUGACGCUGAGACACGAAAGCGUGGGGAGCAAACAGGAUUAGAUACCCUGCUAGUCCACGCCGUAAACGAUGAAUACUAGGUGUGAGCGCGUAGGCGUUCGUGCCGGAGUUAACACAAUAAGUAUUCCACCUGGGGAGUACGGCCGCAAGGUUGAAACUCAAAGGAAUUGACGGGAGCCCGCACAAGCAGUGGAGUAUGUGGUUUAAUUCGAUGCAACGCGAAGAACCUUACCAGGACUUGACAUCCCGGGAAUCCGAGGUAAAGCUUGGAGUGCCCUUCGGGGAAUCCGGAGACAG
This 1018-nucleotide ribosomal RNA is filed under the name uncultured rumen bacterium. RNAcentral describes it as "bacterial SSU rRNA". It matches the Rfam family "Bacterial small subunit ribosomal RNA", at positions 8 to 1037 of the family's 1533-position model. The record is from RNAcentral.